RNAcentral lists this ribosomal RNA (254 nucleotides) under uncultured bacterium. RNAcentral's name for it is "partial 16S ribosomal RNA". It matches the Rfam family "Bacterial small subunit ribosomal RNA", at positions 524 to 777 of the family's 1533-position model. The record is from RNAcentral.
UACGUAGGGGGCAAGCGUUGUCCGGAAUCAUUGGGCGUAAAGCGCGUGUAGGCGGCCCACUAAGUCCGCUCUGAAAGCCCGGGGCUCAACCCCGGGAGGCGGGUGGAUACUGGUGGGCUCGAGUCCGGAAGAGGUCAGUGGAAUUCCCGGUGUAGCGGUGAAAUGCGCAGAUAUCGGGAGGAACACCAAUGGCGAAGGCAGCACUCUGGGACGUGACUGACGCUGAGACGCGAAAGCGUGGGGAGCAAACAGGG